UUCAGCUUCAACACAAACCAUGCUCCCUGCAUCUCUACUGCUGCUGCUGCUAGCAGCUGCAUCCUGUGUGCAGAGUAAUGUUGAACACACUCAGCCAGCUUUCAUGUUCGGAAAGCCAGGACAGUCUCUGACUAUCACCUGUAAAGUCUCUGGGUAUUCCCUGAGCAGUUAUACCACAUUCUGGAUCCGGCAGCCUGCAGGGAAAGCCCUCGAAUGGAUCGGAUAUAUUAACAGUGGUGGCACCCGUUACAAAGAUUCUUUAAAGAACAAGUUCACCAUCUCCAGAGACACCUCCAGCAGCACAGUGUCUUUACAAGCACGCAGCCUGCAGACUGAAGACACAGCUGUGUAUUACUGUGCCCAAGAGACACAAUGA
Molecule: non-coding RNA, 376 nt
Organism: Megalops cyprinoides (Indo-Pacific tarpon)
Lineage: Eukaryota; Metazoa; Chordata; Actinopteri; Elopiformes; Megalopidae
Source: the annotation of a RefSeq genome assembly